UGAUGAUGAUGAUGAUGAUGAUGAUGAUGAUGAUGAUUAUCAUCAUCAUCAUCCACGAUG
RNAcentral lists this microRNA precursor (60 nucleotides) under Marmota monax (woodchuck). Lineage: Eukaryota; Metazoa; Chordata; Mammalia; Rodentia; Sciuridae. The record is from RNAcentral.